GUGGGGAAUCUUCCGCAAUGGACGAAAGUCUGACGGAGCAACGCCGCGUGAGUGAUGAAGGUCUUCGGAUUGUAAAGCUCUGUUAAUCGGGACGAAAGAGCCUAGUGUGAAUAAUGCUAGGAAGUGACGGUACCGGAAUAGAAAGCCACGGCUAACUACGUGCCAGCAGCCGCGGUAAUACGUAGGUGGCAAGCGUUGUCCGGAAUUAUUGGGCGUAAAGCGCGCGCAGGCGGAUCUGCCAGUCUGUCUUAAAAGUUCGGGGCUUAAACGCGUGAUGGGAUGGAAACUACAGAGCUAGAGUAUCGGAGAGGAAAGUGGAAUUCCUAGUGUAGCGGUGAAAUGCAGAGAUAUUAGGAAGAACACCAGUGGCGAAGGCGACUUUCUGGACGAAAACUGACGCUGAGGCGCGAAAGCCAGGGGAGCGAACGGGAUUAGAAACCCCGGUAGUCC
RNAcentral lists this ribosomal RNA (450 nucleotides) under uncultured bacterium. Its description in RNAcentral is "partial 16S ribosomal RNA". It matches the Rfam family "Bacterial small subunit ribosomal RNA", at positions 354 to 796 of the family's 1533-position model. The record is from RNAcentral.